This 851-nucleotide ribosomal RNA is filed under the name Xanthoparmelia aff. subruginosa. RNAcentral describes it as "eukaryotic LSU rRNA". It matches the Rfam family "Eukaryotic large subunit ribosomal RNA", at positions 71 to 937 of the family's 3401-position model. The record is from RNAcentral. Lineage: Eukaryota; Fungi; Ascomycota; Lecanoromycetes; Lecanorales; Parmeliaceae.
GGGAUUGCCUCAGUAACGGCGAGUGAAGCGGCAACAGCUCAAAUUUGAAAUCUGGCCCCAUCGGGGUCCGAGUUGUAAUUUGUAGAGAGUGCUUCGGGCGAGGCCUCGGUCUAAGUCCAUUGGAACAUGGUGUCAUAGAGGGUGAGAAUCCCGUAUGCGACCGUGGCUCGAGCCCAUGUGAAGCCUCUUCGACGAGUCGAGUUGUUUGGGAAUGCAGCUCAAAAUGGGUGGUAAAUUUCAUCUAAAGCUAAAUACUGGCUGGAGACCGAUAGCGCACAAGUAGAGUGAUCGAAAGAUGAAAAGCACUUUGGAAAGAGAGUCAAACAGUACGUGAAAUUGUUGAAAGGGAAGCGCUUGCAACCAGACCUGCCCGUAGGCGAUCAGCCGCUGUUCUCAGCGGUGCACUCGCUCUGCGAUCAGGCCAGCAUCGGUUUCGGCGGUCGGAUAAAGGCCUUGGGAAUGUAGCUUCUCUUCGGGGGAGUCUUAUAGCCCUCGGUGCAAUGCGGCCAGCCGGGACCGAGGACCGCGCUUCGGCUAGGAUGCUGGCGUAAUGGUUGUAAGCGACCCGUCUUGAAACACGGACCAAGGAGUCUAACAUCUAUGCGAGUGUUUGGGUGUCAAACCCAUGCGCGGAAUGAAAGUGAACGGAGGUGAGAACCCUUUAGGGCGCAUCAUCGACCGAUCCAGAUGUCUUCGGAUGGAUUUGAGUAUGAGCAUAGCUGUUGGGACCCGAAAGAUGGUGAACUAUGCCUGAAUAGGGUGAAGCCAGAGGAAACUCUGGUGGAGGCUCGCAGCGGUUCUGACGUGCAAAUCGAUCGUCAAAUUUGGGUAUAGGGGCGAAAGACUAAUCG